This is a non-coding RNA of Phascolarctos cinereus (koala), 473 nucleotides long. The record is from RefSeq and is a predicted model, not a curated record. NCBI's taxonomy places the organism in Eukaryota, Metazoa, Chordata, Mammalia, Diprotodontia, Phascolarctidae.
CGGGAUCAGGCUCGCGGAUCCACAGCCGCCACAGCCGCCGCCGUUCCACAGACGUCACAUGAUGUUUGGUCACGUGGGCUCCAUUCAUGAAGCGGCGACGCGACCGACCAAGACCGUACCCUGGAGAAACUUGCUUUGUCCCUUGGGCCCUGCUCAUCUGAUAGUAACUGGCUCACUGGACCAUUAUUUCAGGGAAGUCCCAGCCAUAAUUCACUUCACUCCUUCUCCACUUUCUCCCUCCAAUCAAACUGUAUGCACAGGAAAGAAGCCCUCUUAGUCCUUUAUUUCUAUGCUCAGUCUCUCUCCAGCCAUGACAGUUAAUAGUAUCUCCAGAAUGACGGGUAAGUUGACACUGUCUUCAGUGUUCUAUUCUUUUUUUAAGAGACAGCAACGGGAUGACCUUUCCAAGCCUUUGGCCUUUGGCUGUUCUCCAUUGCCUGCCCAGGCUCCCUUGUUCAGUCCUUCUUUGCAGA